AUGUCGUCGUCGUUCAAGCCCAACCCCCUCUCGCUGAGCGUCCCGGACCCCGCUCUCGACCGCUGGCUCCGCGACUCCGGCUACCUCGACCUCCUCGACUCCUCCGCCCCCGCACCCGCCGCCGCCGCCCCCACACGCGCCAGCCCCGCAUCCACCUCCUCGGGGGCCGGCGCCGCCGCCGACGUCCUCGCCUUCGCGCGCACCCUAGCCUCUCUUCUCGCGCUCAACCCCUUUGCGUGCCUCUCCGCCGCCGACCUCGCCGCGCCCACCCCCUCCUGGUCCCUCGCCUUUAUCGGCGCUCCCGGCGUCGCCUCCUACUCCUGGCCCCCGACCCCCACCCAGGCCCGACUCCGCGUCCAGGAGAACGUCCGCCGCUACGCCCGCAACUAUGCCGCGCUAUCCGUCCUCGUCUUCGCCUGCUGCCUGUACCGGAUGCCUAUGUCGCUGCUGGGGUUGCUGGCCAGCCUCGCCGUGUGGGAGGCUGUGCGGUACUGCCGGAAGCGGUGGGAGCUCGCCACACGAGCGCCCGGAAUUGGGCAGGCUCUUCUGCACUGUGCCCAGAUUGCCACUGCUAUACUACUAUAUGUAUGCAACCUGCAGUUUGCUCUUGUGUAUGCCAUUGGGUUGAGUUAUGCAGUCAUGAUGCUGCAUGCUUCUCUUCGGAAGUUGACUCCCUCAAGCUUAUCUGUUCCAGCAAAUAAGAAUAGGAGGGCACAGCCAAGACGAAGCUAG
This 732-nucleotide ribosomal RNA is filed under the name Triticum aestivum (bread wheat). RNAcentral's name for it is "partial small subunit ribosomal RNA". Lineage: Eukaryota; Viridiplantae; Streptophyta; Magnoliopsida; Poales; Poaceae. The record is from RNAcentral.